Molecule: ribosomal RNA, 484 nt
Filed under: uncultured bacterium
Lineage: Bacteria
Description: partial 16S ribosomal RNA
Rfam family: Bacterial small subunit ribosomal RNA
Source: RNAcentral
AUUGAACGCUGGCGGCAGGCCUAACACAUGCAAGUCGAGCGGAUGAAGGGAGCUUGCUCCUGGAUUCAGCGGCGGACGGGUGAGUAAUGCCUAGGAAUCUGCCUGGUAGUGGGGGAUAACGUCCGGAAACGGGCGCUAAUACCGCAUACGUCCUGAGGGAGAAAGUGGGGGAUCUUCGGACCUCACGCUAUCAGAUGAGCCUAGGUCGGAUUAGCUAGUUGGUGGGGUAAAGGCCUACCAAGGCGACGAUCCGUAACUGGUCUGAGAGGAUGAUCAGUCACACGGGAACUGAGACACGGUCCAGACUCCUACGGGAGGCAGCAGUGGGGAAUAUUGGACAAUGGGCGAAAGCCUGAUCCAGCCAUGCCGCGUGUGUGAAGAAGGUCUUCGGAUUGUAAAGCACUUUAAGUUGGGAGGAAGGGCAGUAAGUUAAUACCUUGCUGUUUUGACGUUACCAGCAGAAUAAGCACCGGCUAACUUCGUG